Long non-coding RNA from Bactrocera latifrons, 150 nucleotides. RefSeq lists it as uncharacterized. The record is from RefSeq and is a predicted model, not a curated record. Lineage: Eukaryota; Metazoa; Arthropoda; Insecta; Diptera; Tephritidae. The transcript has 2 exons.
CCUGCAAAAUUUAUGACACAGUUGUAUAUCAUCGUUUGGUGCUAUACAUAUUAAGAAAAGCUAACGCAAAAUGUUCAAGUUCUUCGUAUUCUUCACCAUUUGCGCCGCCUUGGCCUCGGCCAACAUGGUGCGUGUGCCCAUCUACAAGAA